GGGCCCGCACAAGCGGUGGAGCAUGUGGCUUAAUUCGAGGCAACGCGAAGAACCUUACCUGGUCUUGACAUGCCCGUCAUAGUUUUCUGAAAGGAAUACGUCAGUUCGGCUGGACGGUGCACAGGUGCUGCAUGGCUGUCGUCAGCUCGUGUCGUGAGAUGUUCGUUAAGUCCGGCAACGAGCGCAACCCUCGUUCCUAGUUGCCAGCGGGUAAUGCCGGGGACUCUAGGAAGACAAACCUCGUGUAGAGGUGGGAAGGUGGGGACGACGUCAAGUCAGUAUGGCCCUUACGACCAGGGCUGCACACGUGCUACAAUGCCCGGUACAAUGGGAUGCAAUACCGCGAGGUUGAGCAAA
RNAcentral lists this ribosomal RNA (357 nucleotides) under uncultured bacterium. RNAcentral's name for it is "bacterial SSU rRNA". It matches the Rfam family "Bacterial small subunit ribosomal RNA", at positions 917 to 1271 of the family's 1533-position model. The record is from RNAcentral.